GAGUUACGACCAGUCGACAUUCUAGCUCGAGUCUCAUCUCAUCUUCACCGGUUAACUUCACUACUUUUGUAAGUUUUGUAAGUCUCAUCUCAUUCUCAUGAUCUCAUCCCAGUACUCGACUACUCUCUGAGAUUUUUUUUGAGUUUUUAUAUUUUUAAGUUUUGAACUUUUUGAGUUCAGAGUUCAGACGCAUAAAUUUUUUAAUUUCUGAUUUUCUGCAUCAAACUAAUUUAGGGUUAUAGGCGGCGAUUUCCAGCUCGAUUCGAUUCCUCACUCCUCACAAAUUCCGGGCAAACGAAGUGUCGAAGACGCUGCUGUCCUGUUCCAGUGUUCCGAGCUCGAUUCAAUUUCAAUUUCAAAGGUAUGUUUCGCUUUCUUUU
This 380-nucleotide long non-coding RNA is filed under the name Nicotiana tabacum (common tobacco). RNAcentral describes it as "long non-coding RNA (NTAB_LNC011236)". Lineage: Eukaryota; Viridiplantae; Streptophyta; Magnoliopsida; Solanales; Solanaceae. The record is from RNAcentral.